CUGCACAAAGUUAAAGCUGUUUCAAGGUGCUUUUCUUCAAGACAAGAAAUGCAUUAAAGGAGUUGGUUAGCAGUUGUGAACAUGUCUUCAUGACCAAGGAAUGCAUUAAAGGAGUUGGUUAGCAGCUGUAAACACUUAAUUUCGAAAUUCCCUAUGCAUGAAGGGUUGUUUCAUGCACUACUAUUUAUUUUGGUAUUUAGAACUUAGAAAGAAC
Molecule: long non-coding RNA, 214 nt
Filed under: Musa acuminata (dwarf banana)
Lineage: Eukaryota; Viridiplantae; Streptophyta; Magnoliopsida; Zingiberales; Musaceae
Description: long non-coding RNA (MACU_LNC010777)
Source: RNAcentral